Molecule: ribosomal RNA, 378 nt
Filed under: uncultured bacterium
Lineage: Bacteria
Description: bacterial SSU rRNA
Rfam family: Bacterial small subunit ribosomal RNA
Source: RNAcentral
AUUGAACGCUGGCGGAAUGCUUAACACAUGCAAGUCGAGCGGGCUGUAGCAAUACAGCUAGCGGCGGACGGGUGAGGAAUACAUAGGAAUCUGCCUCAGAGUGGGGGAUAGCCCGGGGAAACCCGGAUUAAUACCGCAUGAUGUCGUAAGACCAAAGCAGGGGACCGUAAGGCCUUGCGCUUUGAGAUGAGCCUAUGUCGGAUUAGCUAGUUGGCGGGGUAAAAGCCCACCAAGGCGACGAUCCGUAGCUGGUCUGAGAGGACGAUCAGCCACACCGGAACUGAGACACGGUCCGGACUCCUACGGGAGGCAGCAGUGGGGAAUAUUGGACAAUGGGCGCAAGCCUGAUCCAGCAAUUCCGCGUGUGUGAAGAAGGCC